UAGGAAGGGGACUAGCGUUGUUCGGAAUUACUGGGCGUAAAGCGCACGCAGGCGGAUUUAUAAGUCAGGGGUGAAAUCCCGGGGCUCAACCUCGGAAUUGCCCUUGAUACUGUCUAUCUUGAGUCCGGGAGAGGUGAGUGGAAUUCCUAGUGUAGAGGUGAAAUUCGUAGAUAUUAGGAAGAACACCAGUGGCGAAGGCGGCUCACUGGCCCGGUACUGACGCUCAUGUGCGAAAGCGUGGGGAGCAAACAGG
RNAcentral lists this ribosomal RNA (253 nucleotides) under uncultured bacterium. RNAcentral's name for it is "partial 16S ribosomal RNA". It matches the Rfam family "Bacterial small subunit ribosomal RNA", at positions 524 to 776 of the family's 1533-position model. The record is from RNAcentral.